CUACUCACAAGAGAGUUAGGGGAUUUGAUUAAUCUGGGCCAUACGCCCGGUUUAGGUGUGUUUUGCUCCGGGUCAAAGUUGAUUGCAUUCAUUUUGGAACCUCCUCCUGGGCGUGAUCCAGGUGCCCAGUUCAAAGCCCACGGAGAAGUCGGCUCAAAACCAAAGUUGCGUAAAUUAACACGUGGAAUAACGAGUAGGAUUCUGUGUUUUUACAUGCAAAAGUGAUUCCUUUUGAUUAAAAAAAAGUGUUUUAACUGCCUUCCCAAUGAAAACUAGUUUGAAAAUUCUAACAUAUUUGAUGGAAAAAGGUGUGGUACGCUUCUGGAUUGCACCGUGCUGCCUUGUUGACAAACAGGACAAAGCGGCGCAUAUUACUCUUCAAUGUUCGUGUCACUUGCCAUAGACCGGUGCCCCGCGGCUAAGCAUAAUCAACUCUGCUCUUUUACUUUGCUUGUCGUGCGUAAACAAGGAAAUGAACAAGAACCAGAUGGAGGUCGUGUACAUUCUUUGCUCAUGUCGGGGAAACGCAAAGUAAUUCUUAGAGAGAGAAAGAGAUAAUAUGACAUUUGAAAUGUCUUUAUUUUCUUGGAACUUCUGUGAGUGUAAUGUUUACUGUUAAUUUGUAUUGUUUAUUUCACUUUUGUUUAUUAUCUAUUUCACUUGCUUUGGCAAUGUUACAGUUUUUCUCAAUUGCUAAAACACUAAAAACCCAUUGGCUGAACAAAGUUCUCAGUUGCCUGAACUCAUUUAGCUAAGUAUGCAGUCUGUUGUCAAUACCUUAAACCAUUUCACAUGGUAAAACACAAUUUGCAGAUCUCACUUAGACUUUUCAGCAAAACUCUAAACACGUUCUCAUUCUCAAAACACAUUCUGCACUAUAAUGCACAUGUCAUCCAUACUAGUUAUCACAAGUGGCAACAAUCAAAUACAAAUAGAGAACAAAUGUCAAUGAUUGAACACAACCACUCAAAAUUGAUUUGACCUGUUUCAAAUGAUGUGACACAACCAAUAUAAGCCAGUUCAGAGAGCAAACAGGUUGUUGAUGGUGGGAAUGAGAAAGUCUGAGAAUGGAUAGAAGAAACAAUGUGAGAGGACGAGGAUGAGUGCAUAUGUGAGGUGGGCGACAAGGAGGAAGAGGAGGAGGAGGGCAAGAAAUAGGAAGAGGAGGAAGAGGAAGAGGAAGACAAAGAGUGGAAAUAUCUGAUGAAAUUCGAGCAACAAUUAUAGACCAUGUUCUUGUCCAUAGACUGACAAUGAGGGAAGCAGGACUUAAAGUGCAACCCAAUUUGAGCCGAUUUUCUGUGUCUACCAUUGUAAGGACAUUCAGAGAAGAGAACAGAAUUGCAAGGCUGCCACAUGCAGGUGGAAUGACAGCUAUAUUCACUCGGGAGCAAGAGGCCAUUAUAGUUGGCAUGGUCCUUCAAGAUAAUGCAAUACGACUCCAGGAACGAGUGAUACAAGACAACACACACUUCCAGGGAAUCGACAGUGUGAGCAUUUCCACAAUUGACCGUGUCCUCCAUUGUAACAGGAUGCGAAUGAAACAAGUAUACAGAGUGCCUUAUGAGCGCAACUCACCAAGGGUGAAAGAACUGCGAGCUCAGUAUGUGCAAAGGACCUGAGCCCUAGGACCAUGCCUCAGGACUACCUGGCAUGAUGACUCCAAGCUGUCCCCAGUCCAUCUGGCCGGACUGCUGCUCCAGUAUCAACUGUUCUGCCUGCAGCUAUGGAAUCCUGACCUGCUCACCGGACGUGCUACCUGUCCCAGACCUAUUAUUUGACCAUGCUGGUCAUUUAUGAACAUUUGUACAUCUUGGACAUGUUCUGUUAUAAUCUCCACCCAGCACAGCCAGAAGAGGACUGGCCACCCCUCAUAGCCUGGUUCCUCUCUAGGUUUCUUCCUAGGUUUUGGCCUUUCUAGGGAGUUUUUCCUAGCCAACAUGCUUCAACACCUGCAUUGCUUGCUGUUUGGGGUUUUAGGCUGGGUUUCUGUACAGCACUUUGAGAUAUCAGCUGAUGUACGAAGGGCUAUAUAAAUACAUUUGAUUUGAUUUGUAUAAUGCAUGGCUGUGUGCUCUACUUUAUACACCUGUCAGCAAUCCACUAACAUAAAGAGUUGUCCACAUACUUUUGUAUUCAGUGCAGUCAGAAAGUAUUCAGACCCCUUGUCUUUUUCCACAUUUUGUUACAUUACAGCCUUAUUCAAAACUGGAUUGAUAAUGUUUUUCCUUUAAUCUAUACACAAUUCCCCAUGAAGACAAAGCAAAAACAGCGUUUUAGAUCAAGUUUAAUUUAAAAAAUAAAAUAAUGAAAUAUUACAUUUACUUAGGUUGUCAGUCCCUUUACUCAGUACUUUGUUGAAGCACCUUUGGCAGCGAUUACAGCCUUGAAUCUUCUUUGGUAUGACGCUACAAGCUUGGCACACCUGUAUUCGGAGAGUUUCUCCCAUUCUUCUCUGCAGAUCCUCUCUGUCAGGUUGGAUGGAGAGUGUAGCUGCACAGCUAUUUUCUGGUCUCUCCAGAGAUGUUCGAUCGGUUCAAGUCCGGGCACUGGCUGGGCCACUCAAGGACAUUCAGAGACUUGUCCCGAAGCCACUACUGCUUUGUCUUGGCUGUGUGCUUAGGGUGGUUGUCCUGUUGGAAGGUGAACCUUUACCCCUGUCUGAGGUCCUAAGCUCUCUGGAACAGGUUUUCAUCAAGGAUCUCUCUGUACUUUGCUCUGUUCAUCCUGACUAGUCUCCCGGUCUCUGUCACUGAAAAACAUCCCGCAGCAUGAUGCUGCCACCACCAUGCUUCACCGUAGGGAUGGUACCAGGUUUCCUCCAGACGUGACGCUUGGCAUUCAGGUCAAAGAGUUCAAUCUUGGUUUCAUCAGACGAGAGAAUCUUGUUUCUCAUGGUCUGAGAGUCUUUAGGUGCCUUUUGGCAAACUACAAGCGGGCUGUCAUGCCUUUUACUGAGGAUUGGCUUCCGUCUGGCCCCUCUACCAUAAAGGCCUGAUUGGUGGAGUGCUGCAGAGAUGGUUGUCCUUCUGGGAGGUUCAACAUCUCCACAGAAGAGCUCUGUCAGAGUGACCAUCGGGUCCUUGGUCACCUCCAUGACCAAGGCCCUUCUCCCCAAUUGCUCAGUCUGACCAGGCGGCCAGCUCUAGGAAGAGUCUUGGUGGUUCUAAACUUCUUCCAUUUAAGAAUGAUGGCCACUUUGUUCUUGAGGACGUUCAAUGCUGCAAAAAUGUUUUGGUACCAUUCCCCAGAUGUGUUGUUUGACACAAUCCUGUCUUGGAGCUCUACUGACAAUUCCUUCGACCUCAUGGCUUGGUUUUUGCUCUGAUAUACAUUGUCAACUGUGGGACCUUAUAUAGACAGGUGUGUGCCUUUCCAAAUCAUGUCGAAUCAAUUGAAUUUACCACAGGUGGCUUCAAACAAGUUGUAGAAACACCUCAAGGAUGAUCAAUGGCAACAGGAUGCACCAGAGCUCAAUUUCAAGUCUCAUAGGGUCUGAAUACUUACGUUUUUUUAUACAUUUGCAAAAAUGUCUAAAAACCUGUUUUUGCUUUGUUAUUUUGGGGUAUUGUGUUUAGAUGGGUUGUUUUAGAACAAGGCUGUAACAUAACAACGUGGAAAAAGUCAAGAGGUCUUACUUUGAUGGAAUUGGGAAAAGACCCCUUCCCUGCUGUCAAAUUACCAAAUGACCUCACUCAUUCUUUGUGAGGAAAUUACUUUUAAUCUUAAAAAAGCAUUCCCCUUUCAAAAAAUGUAGAUCUAAGAACUGAUAUAGCCUUUGGUUCACUCCAGACCUUACUGCCCUCGACCAGCACAAAAAUAUCCUGUGGCGGACUGAACUAGCAUCGAAUAGUCCCCGCGAUAUGCAACUUUUCAGGGAAGUCAGGAACCAAUACACGCAGUCAGUCAGGAUAGCAAAGACUAGCUUUUUCAAACAGAAAUUUGCAUCCUGUAGCUCUAACUCCAAAAAGUUUUGGGACACUGUAAAGUCCAUGGAGAAAAAGAGCAUCUCCUCCCAGCUGCCCAAUGCCAUAAAUGCUCACGAAAUAUACAUUUGACCUUGUCUUGGAGGUUCUCAGAACAUUUGGAACAUGUUAUAUUUCAGUUUGACAUCAUAUUACUGGAAAAGCAUUCCAGGUGAAGCUGGUUGAGAGAAUGCCAAGAGUGUACAAAUCUGUCAUCAAGGCAAAGGGUGGCGACUUUGAAUCAUCUAAAAUCUCAAAUAUAUUUUUGAUUUGUUUAACACUUUUUUGGUUACUACAUGAUUCCAUAUGUGUUAUUUCAUUGUUUGUUUUGAUGUCCUUACUAUUAUUCUACAUUGUAGAACGUUUUGACUGGUACUGUAGGUCAGGCAAAACUUAACAUGGCGGUGUUCAUCUUAGCUAUCUCACUCGAAUAAAGACCUCCUCCAUUCCUGUCA
Long non-coding RNA from Oncorhynchus nerka (sockeye salmon), 4420 nucleotides. RefSeq lists it as uncharacterized. Lineage: Eukaryota; Metazoa; Chordata; Actinopteri; Salmoniformes; Salmonidae. The record is from RefSeq and is a predicted model, not a curated record. The transcript has 3 exons.